GAUGAACGCUAGCGGCAGGCCUAAUACAUGCAAGCUGAACGGCAAGAUUUGUAGCAAUACGAGUCCUAGAGUAGCGUAAGGGUGCGUAACACGUAUGCAAUCUGCCCGCAACAGGAGGAUAGCUUAGCGAAAGUUGAGAUAAGACUCCAUAAGAUCACGAGAGGGCAUCUGAUUGUGAUUAAACUACAAGGGGUUGCGGAUGAGCAUGCGUCUGAUUAGUAGUUGGCGGGUAACGCCCACCAAGACGAUGAUCAGUAGGGGAACUGAGAGGUU
This 273-nucleotide ribosomal RNA is filed under the name uncultured bacterium. Its description in RNAcentral is "partial 16S ribosomal RNA". It matches the Rfam family "Bacterial small subunit ribosomal RNA", at positions 28 to 301 of the family's 1533-position model. The record is from RNAcentral.